GUGCCAGCAGCCGCGGUAAGACGAAGGACCCAAGCGUUAUCCGGAUUCAUUGGGUUUAAAGGGUGCGUAGGCGGGUUGAUAAGUCAGUGGUGAAAGCCCAACGCUUAACGUUGGAACUGCCAUUGAUACUGUCGAUCUUGAAUGUGUUUGAUGUGGGCGGAAUAUGACAUGUAGCGGUGAAAUGCUUAGAUAUGUCAUAGAACACCGAUUGCGAAGGCAGCUCACAAAGCCACUAUUGACGCUGAGGCACGAAAGCGUGGGGAUCAAACAGGAUUAGAUACCCUGGUAGUCC
This 292-nucleotide ribosomal RNA is filed under the name uncultured bacterium. RNAcentral's name for it is "partial 16S ribosomal RNA". It matches the Rfam family "Bacterial small subunit ribosomal RNA", at positions 505 to 796 of the family's 1533-position model. The record is from RNAcentral.